GCAUCGGUGGUUUAGUGGUAAAAUUAGCCGUUGCCAUACGUCCAUUCCAUGAGAGCUGUAUGUCGCAGUCUCGGCUAGCCCCGGGUUCGAUUCCCGGCCGAUGCA
Non-coding RNA from Plenodomus lindquistii, 105 nucleotides. NCBI's taxonomy places the organism in Eukaryota, Fungi, Ascomycota, Dothideomycetes, Pleosporales, Leptosphaeriaceae. The record is from the annotation of a GenBank genome assembly.